GUGCUCACUUCAGCUGCACAUAUACUAAAGUUGGAAUGAUACAGAGAUUAGCAUGGCCCCUGUGCAAGAUGACAUGCAAAUUUGUGAAGUGUUCCAUAUUUAA
Molecule: small nuclear RNA, 103 nt
Filed under: Ochotona princeps (American pika)
Lineage: Eukaryota; Metazoa; Chordata; Mammalia; Lagomorpha; Ochotonidae
Source: RNAcentral